RNAcentral lists this ribosomal RNA (254 nucleotides) under uncultured bacterium. Its description in RNAcentral is "partial 16S ribosomal RNA". It matches the Rfam family "Bacterial small subunit ribosomal RNA", at positions 524 to 776 of the family's 1533-position model. The record is from RNAcentral.
UACGUAGGGUGCGAGCGUUGUCCGGAAUUAUUGGGCGUAAAGAGCUCGUAGGCGGUGUGUCACGUCGGCCGUGAAAACCUGCAGCUUAACUGUGGGCGUGCGGUCGAUACGGGCAUCACUGGAGUUCGGCAGGGGAGACUGGAAUUCCUGGUGUAGCGGUGAAAUGCGCAGAUAUCAGGAGGAACACCGGUGGCGAAGGCGGUUUCCUGGCCGAGUACUGACGCUGAGGCACGAAAGCGUGGGGAGCGAACGGG